RNAcentral lists this long non-coding RNA (157 nucleotides) under Ictidomys tridecemlineatus (thirteen-lined ground squirrel). Its description in RNAcentral is "lncRNA (ENSSTOG00000034716.1)". Lineage: Eukaryota; Metazoa; Chordata; Mammalia; Rodentia; Sciuridae. The record is from RNAcentral.
GUGGGGUAAGGAAAGAGGAGUUGAGGCUGGCAUUCACAUCCGUCCUGGCUGACUAACUGGACAUCGUUUAUGAAGACAGGAGAAACCUUCUAUGCUGGUCCUCACUCAUAAGUGCUGGCUGGGACUAGCCAGGCACAUCACAUUUCAAUAGAAAGAA